Molecule: non-coding RNA, 97 nt
Organism: Triticum aestivum (bread wheat)
Lineage: Eukaryota; Viridiplantae; Streptophyta; Magnoliopsida; Poales; Poaceae
Source: Rfam
AUUGUACUUCUUCCGUCCCAAAAUUCUUGUCUUAGAUUUGUCUAGAUACUAUCUAGACAAAUCUAAGACAAGAAUUUUGAGACGGAGGGAGUACUAA